Fragaria vesca subsp. vesca is the source of this 1329-nucleotide RNA transcript. RefSeq lists it as uncharacterized. NCBI's taxonomy places the organism in Eukaryota, Viridiplantae, Streptophyta, Magnoliopsida, Rosales, Rosaceae. The transcript is spliced from 11 exons. The record is from RefSeq and is a predicted model, not a curated record.
AUGUAUAAUGUGGGAAUCAUGAUGCUGGCUUGCAGGAAAGCUUAUAUGAAAUACUUGGAUAAAAUAUACAAGGGAAGUGAGAUAUCGUGGUUUACUCCUGUGGAAAUUUUUAAGCCUUGAUAUGCCCAUGGGAUAGCUGAAGCCAUAAUGCGUACUGCUAACCUUUCAGUUCCUCUUAAGGUAAGAUUCCUCUUUUUGAUAUUUCUACGGACUAUAAUUACAAUCUUGUCAAACUACAGCUCAGUUGAAAUCAGUCCCUCACUGGCUGAGCUACAAAGAGAAACUGUUGGAGAAGUUCGUAGUCACUUAUCAAAGUUUUGAGUCGAAUGCCGUGAUGCUGCUGACAGGAAGGGAUGGGGGGACGUGCAGCAAGAGCCAUGCUGGGUAAUAAUUCUUGAUGUACUUGAUAAUCUUCCACAUGAUCUCAUCUAUUCUGAAAAUCAAGUUUCACCAUGGAAGGAAGUUUGGGUGGCGAACCAAGAUGGGGAAACACUAACUGAAUUGUACAAGCCAUUGCAAGACUCACUAAUUAAGAAAUGCAUUAAGAUCAUUGACUUUGAGAAAAAACAGGAUUCUCAAAGCAGUGCAUUAUUAAAAAGUGUUUGGUCUAAAGUCUUCCCAAAACCUAGAAGAAGUUGGCUACCAACUGGUUGCUUGAAACUGUUACAUGGAGCACUACCAAAGAUGUCUUUGAUUGCUUCAGACUUUAGUUACCUACCUGACGUGAAAAUACUUGGUGAAAGACCUCCAUUGGUUUCAACCAAGAAAGAUGGCAGCAGCACAGACUAUGGCAGUUAUCUUGAUGCAAAGGGGGAUGCCGAUAUCUUCUUCCCUACCGAAUUCUGGUUAUUGGAACGUAUUGAUCAUUACUGUUCUGGAUGGAAGAAGCUGCAAAAAGAUGACUCAUCCAAAGAAGGAAAGAAGAGGCGAACAAUUAUACUUGAUACGUCAUCAUUCAUGGAAGAAUUUGGAUUGCCCUCGAGGACAAGAACCAAGGAUGGAUACAAUCCACUUUUGGAUGACUUCAAGAAUACAAAAUUCUAUUUAAGUGUCCCAACACAUAAUACUUCAUAGAAGGCUGGUAUUAGUGACUUCUUCAUUUCCAAGUUGGCUUUGUCUUGCUGAAUCUGGGUAUCAAAAUUAUACGAGCAUUGCAUCACCAGCUCAACUUUUACUUGUAUUUAUCUGCAUGAUCAGAGUGUCUCUCUUCAAAUAUAGAUACCUAUGGCCGAAUCCUUAGGAAACAGUGAUAUUAUGGCUAUUGAAGAUGGAAAAUGCAAGUCGGCUUUGUUAUGAAUACACAAGAUGAGAAUAAUUUUAGAGAGAAGG